This is a non-coding RNA of Tinamus guttatus (white-throated tinamou), 115 nucleotides long. The record is from RefSeq and is a predicted model, not a curated record. NCBI's taxonomy places the organism in Eukaryota, Metazoa, Chordata, Aves, Tinamiformes, Tinamidae.
UAAUUCACGUCAGGUAUUUGAUUUGACUAAAAAAGUCCUUCUUUUGAUGAGGGUGUGGUUGGGUUUGCUUGAUUCAGGGUUUUUUCCUCCCUUCUGUCUGUGUGAAAUUUUGUAU